This 3261-nucleotide ribosomal RNA is filed under the name Triticum aestivum (bread wheat). Its description in RNAcentral is "partial small subunit ribosomal RNA". The record is from RNAcentral. Lineage: Eukaryota; Viridiplantae; Streptophyta; Magnoliopsida; Poales; Poaceae.
AUGGGCUGCUCACCUUCGAAGUGUUGUUUUUGUUUACAUUUUAAGGGAUGUUUGCACUCCCACGGGUGUCUUAAUCAAACACCUGACUCCCGAAGAGAGUCAAGGGGAAAAUCAAGUUGGGGAAGGGCAAAGAUAGAUUCUAGUGCUUCAGAUGGCUCUUCUGAUGAUCUAGAGGGAGAUGAUGGAUUCGGCCAAAUGAACAUUACAAGGGAAUCAAAUGUUGGUAUUAAUCGUCUCUCAAGGGUCUCUUCACAGUUUCUUCCUCCAGAAGGUUCGCGCAAAGUUCGAGUCCCGUUGGGAAACUAUGACCUGAGAUACUCCUAUUUGUCUGAGAGAGGUUACUACCCAGAGUCAUUGGACAAACCAAACCAAGAUAGCUUCUGCAUACACACUCCAUUUGGAACAAGCCCUGAUGACCACUUCUUUGGUGUAUUUGAUGGUCAUGGGGAAUAUGGAGCUCAGUGCUCGCAGUUCGUGAAACGAAGAUUGUGUGAAAACUUGCUCCGGGAUAGCCGGUUUCGUACUGAUGCUGUUCAGGCUCUUCAUUCUGCUUUCUUGGCAACAAAUUCUCAGCUCCAUGCGGACAGCUUGGAUGAUUCCAUGAGUGGUACUACCGCGAUCACUAUACUGGUGAGGGGCAAAACAUUGUACAUUGCAAAUACAGGCGAUUCACGUGCUCUUAUUGCUGAGAAAAGAGGAGAGUAUAUUAUUGCUGUUGACCUGUCCAUAGAUCAAACUCCUUACCGGACCGAUGAGGUUGAAAGGGUCAAGGAGUGUGGUGCCAGGGUUCUGACAUUGGAUCAAAUAGAAGGACUAAAGAAUCCAGAUGCUCAGUGUUGGGGCAACGAGGAAAGUGACGAUGGCGAUCCUCCAAGGUUGUGGGUGGAAAAUGGCAUGUUUCCGGGAACUGCUUUUACUCGUAGUAUUGGAGAUUCUGUUGCUGAAUCAAUUGGCGUCGUCGCAAAUCCUGAAUUUUUUAACCUGGAGCUCAGUGCCAGCCAUCCAUUCUUCGUUAUUGCUAGUGACGGAGUUUUCGAGUUUCUUUCUAGCCAAACAGUCGUAGACAUGAUUGCUAAAUACAAGGAUCCUCGUGAUGCAUGUGCUGCAAUUGUUGCUGAGUCCUAUCGUCUCUGGCUGCAGUAUGAAACUCGUACGGAUGACAUCACAAUCAUACUUGUACAUAUUAACGGGUUAACUGAUAGUGGUUCCACCCAUACCGUAUUGAAGGUGUCUUUACAACCAUCACAGCAAGUAGUAGAACUGGUGGGCUCUGAAUCACCAUCCAUCACAAGUUUGAACCCCAAUAACCAGCGCUCCAGGCAUGAUCUAUCACGUGCACGGUUGAGAGCUAUUGAAAGUUCUCUGGAAAAUGGUCAACUAUGGAUUCCUCCAUCUCCAUCACAUCGCAAGACAUGGGAAGAGCAAGCACGUAUUGAGAGGAUACUACAUGAUCAUUUCCUCUUCAGAAAGCUCACUGAUUCACAACGCAAUGUUUUACUUGAUUGCAUGCAACGGGUUGAGGCAACACCUGGGGAUAUAGUGGUGCAGCAGGGUGGUGAAGGCGACUGCUUUUAUGUAGUUGGGAAUGGUGAGUUUGAAGUUCUGGCCAUGCAGGAAGAAGAUGGGAAGGAAGUGACCAAGGUCUUGCAUCGGUAUACUGCUGACAAACUAUCUUCCUUUGGAGAGCUAGCAUUGAUGUAUAACAAGCCACUUCAGUCUUCGGUCCGUGCCGUGACUAAUGGAACAUUAUGGGCUCUAAAGCGGGAGGAUUUCCGGGGAAUUCUGAUGUCAGAAUUUUCAAACAUGCCAUCACUGAAGUUGCUCCGAUCUGUACAACUGUUUACAAGAUUGACAGUGCUUCAGCUAAGUCAACUUGCCGACUCACUUGUUGAGGUAUCAUUUGCAGAUGGACAAGUAAUAGUAGACAAGGAUGAUGACGUCUCUUCUCUAUAUAUUAUUCAAAGAGGCCAUGUGAGACUUACAGUAGCAGCUGAUAGGUUAAAUUCAGAUUCGUGGGAUCUUCUUAGUACUCAUGGAAAGCAGGUCCAACAGAGUCAAGAAAGUGGUAAUUAUGUGGUUGAGAUAGAUGAGGGAGGUCACUUUGGAGAGUGGGCUCUCAUUGGAGAGACUAUCACAUUUACUGCUAGCUCAGUUGGUGAUGUGAUCUGUUCUACUAUAGCAAAAGAGAAAUUUGAUUUAAUUGUUGGGUCUUUGCCUAAACCAUCACAGGCUGAUUCCAUGCUUAAAAGUUCUCUUAUCCCAAAGGAGAACCAGCAUUGUGCGGAUGACGAUUUGCCCUUCAGGAGGGUUCAGCUAUCUGAUUUGGAAUGGAAGGAGUGCAUAUAUGCCGCUGAUUGCAGCGAGAUCGGUCUUGUCCAAAUUAGAGGCUCUGACAAGAUGAAAAGCUUCAAAAGGUUUUAUAUUAAGAGGGUAAAUGAUCUCUGUAAGGAAAAGCAGGUGUUUCAGGAGAAAGACAUGAUGAAAACUUUGAGCAAAUCAGCUUGUGUGCCAGAAGUUUUAUGUACUUGUGCGGAUCAAUCAUAUCUUGGAAUACUGCUGAAUUGUUGCCUUUGUUGCUCACUGGCUUCAAUACUUAAUGCACCACUAAGUGAGUCAUCCGCACGAUUCUAUGCAGCUUCAGUUGUUGUUGCUCUAGAAGAACUUCAUCGGAGGUCUAUUCUUUACAGAGGUGUUUCAGCAGAUAUUCUUAUGCUCGACCGAUCGGGAUAUCUGCAGGUAGUUGACUUCAGGUUUGCGAAGAAGUUGGAAGGUGAAAGGACUUACACAAUAUGUGGCAUCGCUGACUCUCUACCUCCAGAGGUUGUUCUUGGCAGGGGGCAUGGGUUUACUGCUGAUUGGUGGGCGCUUGGAGUAUUGAUUUAUUUCAUGCUGCAAUCAGACUUGCCAUUUGGGUCGUGGAGGGAGAGCGAGCUAGAACCUUUCGGUAAGAUUGCGAAAGGUCGCCUAAUUAUACCAUCAGCUUUCAGUGUGGAAGUUGGUGACCUUAUAACCAAGCUACUUGUGGUAGAUGAAAAUACACGCCUUGGAGCCACAGGUGCUGACGCUGUGAAGGAACAUCCCUGGUUUGAUGGCAUUGACUGGAAACAAAUAGCAGAUGUCACUUCAAGAGUACCUCAAGAAAUCUCUAAUCGCAUCGACAUAUAUGUAGAAACUCUUCAGCAGGAUUUAACAGUGCCCCCUUCCAUCCUGACUGAAGAUCCUGCUGAUAUGACUACUCCAGAGUGGAUCAAAGAUUGGUAA